Molecule: long non-coding RNA, 243 nt
Filed under: Homo sapiens (human)
Lineage: Eukaryota; Metazoa; Chordata; Mammalia; Primates; Hominidae
Description: HSALNT0355561
Source: RNAcentral
GGAGAAUGGUGUGAACCUGGGAGGCAGAGCUUGCAGUGAGCGGAGAUCGCACCACUGCACUCCAGCCCAGGCGACAGAGUGAGACUCUGUCUCAAAAAAAAAAAAAAAAAAAGAAAAGAAAAAGAAAAAAGAAAUAAAAAAAAAAAAAAAAAAAAAAAAAAAAAAAAAAAAAAAAAAAAAAAGGAUACAGCCUCCUAAAAGAGAAGACUUCUCAAUAUUAGCCAUUUACCUUAUUUCACCUCU